Molecule: non-coding RNA, 21 nt
Filed under: Caenorhabditis elegans
Lineage: Eukaryota; Metazoa; Nematoda; Chromadorea; Rhabditida; Rhabditidae
Source: RNAcentral
UAGAUGUUGAUUUUCAUUACA